Dama dama (fallow deer) is the source of this 105-nucleotide small nuclear RNA. The record is from RefSeq and is a predicted model, not a curated record. Lineage: Eukaryota; Metazoa; Chordata; Mammalia; Artiodactyla; Cervidae.
AUGCUAACUUUGUCAGCCUGUAUACUAAAAUUGGAACGAUACUGAGAAUAUAAGCAUUUCCUGAACAAGGGUGAUACACAAAUUUAUGAAGCAUUCCACAUUUUU